RNAcentral lists this ribosomal RNA (459 nucleotides) under uncultured bacterium. RNAcentral describes it as "partial 16S ribosomal RNA". It matches the Rfam family "Bacterial small subunit ribosomal RNA", at positions 338 to 795 of the family's 1533-position model. The record is from RNAcentral.
CCUACGGGAGGCAGCAGUGAGGAAUAUUGGUCAAUGGCCGAGAGGCUGAACCAGCCAAGUCGCGUGAGGGAAGACGGCCCUACGGGUUGUAAACCUCUUUUGUCGGGGAGCAAAGAGAGUCACGGGUGACUCAUUGCGAGUACCCGAAGAAAAAGCAUCGGCUAACACCGUGCCAGCAGCCGCGGUAAUACGGAGGAUGCGAGCGUUAUCCGGAUGUAUUGGGUUUAAAGGGUGCGCAGGCGGAAGAUCAAGUCAGCGGUAAAAUUGAGAGGCUCAACCUCUUCGAGCCGUUGAAACUGGUUUUCUUGAGUGAGCGAGAAGUAUGCGGAAUGCGUGGUGUAGCGGUGAAAUGCAUAGAUAUCACGCAGAACUCCGAUUGCGAAGGCAGCGUACCGGCGCCAGACUGACGCUGAGGCACGAAAGCGUGGGGAUCGAACAGGAUUAGAUACCCCAGUAGUC